GAAUGCUGACAUAAGUAACGAUAAAGCGGGUGAAAAGCCCGCUCGCCGGAAGACCAAGGGUUCCUGUCCAACGUUAAUCGGGGCAGGGUGAGUCGACCCCUAAGGCGAGGCCGAAAGGCGUAGUCGAUGGGAAACGGGUUAAUAUUCCCGUACUUGGUGUUACUGCGAAGGGGGGACGGAGAAGGCUAUGUUGGCCGGGCGACGGUUGUCCCGGUUUAAGCGUGUAGGCUGGUUUUCCAGGCAAAUCCGGAAAAUCAAGGCUGAGGCGUGACGACGAGGCACUACGGUGCUGAAGCAACAAAUGCCCUGCUUCCAGGAAAAGCCUCUAAGCAUCAGGUAACAUCAAAUCGUACCCCAAACCGACACAGGUGGUCAGGUAGAGAAUACCAAGGCGCUUGAGAGAACUCGGGUGAAGGAACUAGGCAAAAUGGUGCCGUAACUUCGGGAGAAGGCACGCUGACACGUAGGUGAAGUGAUUUACUCAUGGAGCUGAAGUCAGUCGAAGAUACCAGCUGGCUGCAACUGUUUAUUAAAAACACAGCACUGUGCAAACACGAAAGUGGACGUAUACGGUGUGACGCCUGCCCGGUGCCGGAAGGUUAAUUGAUGGGGUCAGCGCAAGCGAAGCUCCUGAUCGAAGCCCCGGUAAACGGCGGCCGUAACUAUAACGGUCCUAAGGUAGCGAAAUUCCUUGUCGGGUAAGUUCCGACCUGCACGAAUGGCGUAAUGAUGGCCAGGCUGUCUCCACCCGAGACUCAGUGAAAUUGAACUCGCUGUGAAGAUGCAGUGUACCCGCGGCAAGACGGAAAGACCCCGUGAACCUUUACUAUAGCUUGACACUGAACAUUGAGCCUUGAUGUGUAGGAUAGGUGGGAGGCUUUGAAGUGUGGACGCCAGUCUGCAUGGAGCCGACCUUGAAAUACCACCCUUUAAUGUUUGAUGUUCUAACGUGGACCCGUUACCCGGGUUGCGGACAGUGUCUGGUGGGUAGUUUGACUGGGGCGGUCUCCUCCUAAAGAGUAACGGAGGAGCACGAAGGUUGGCUAAUCCUGGUCGGACAUCAGGAGGUUAGUGCAAUGGCAUAAGCCAGCUUGACUGCGAGCGUGACGGCGCGAGCAGGUGCGAAAGCAGGUCAUAGUGAUCCGGUGGUUCUGAAUGGAAGGGCCAUCGCUCAACGGAUAAAAGGUACUCCGGGGAUAACAGGCUGAUACCGCCCAAGAGUUCAUAUCGACGGCGGUGUUUGGCACCUCGAUGUCGGCUCAUCACAUCCUGGGGCUGAAGUAGGUCCCAAGGGUAUGGCUGUUCGCCAUUUAAAGUGGUACGCGAGCUGGGUUUAGAACGUCGUGAGACAGUUCGGUCCCUAUCUGCCGUGGGCGCUGGAGAACUGAGGGGGGCUGCUCCUAGUACGAGAGGACCGGAGUGGACGCAUCACUGGUGUUCGGGUUGUCAUGCCAAUGGCACUGCCCGGUAGCUAAAUGCGGAAGAGAUAAGUGCUGAAAGCAUCUAAGCACGAAACUUGCCCCGAGAUGAGUUCUCCCUGAGACUUAGAGUCUCCUGAAGGAACGUUGAAGACGACGACGUUGAUAGGCCGGGUGUGUAAGCGCAGCGAUGCGUUGAGCUAACCGGUACUAAUGAACCGUGAGGCUUAACCUUACA
This 1656-nucleotide ribosomal RNA is filed under the name Salmonella enterica subsp. enterica serovar Hadar. RNAcentral describes it as "partial 23S ribosomal RNA". It matches the Rfam family "Bacterial large subunit ribosomal RNA", at positions 1292 to 2925 of the family's 2925-position model. The record is from RNAcentral. Lineage: Bacteria; Pseudomonadati; Pseudomonadota; Gammaproteobacteria; Enterobacterales; Enterobacteriaceae.